AGGACGAACGCUGGCGGCGUGCUUAACACAUGCAAGUCGAGCGGUAAGGCCCUUCGGGGUACACGAGCGGCGAACGGGUGAGUAACACGUGGGUGACCUGCCCUCAGCUCUGGGAUAAGCCUGGGAAACUGGGUCUAAUACCGGAUAUGACCACAUGUCGCAUGGUGUGUGGUGGAAAGUGCGUUCUUUGUUGAGCGUUUCGGCUGGGGAUGGGCCCGCGGCCUAUCAGCUUGUUGGUGGGGUGAUGGCCUACCAAGGCGACGACGGGUA
RNAcentral lists this ribosomal RNA (270 nucleotides) under uncultured bacterium. RNAcentral describes it as "partial small subunit ribosomal RNA". It matches the Rfam family "Bacterial small subunit ribosomal RNA", at positions 26 to 285 of the family's 1533-position model. The record is from RNAcentral.